Podarcis lilfordi (Lilford's wall lizard) is the source of this 84-nucleotide non-coding RNA. Lineage: Eukaryota; Metazoa; Chordata; Lepidosauria; Squamata; Lacertidae. The record is from the annotation of a GenBank genome assembly.
GAUGGCUGAGUUUGGGGAAGACCUCUCUGGCUCAGCAUCUGCUUUGCAUGCAGAAGGUCCCAGGUUUGAUCCCUGGCUUCUCCA